AGAGUUUGAUCAUGGCUCAGAUUGAACGCUGGCGGCAGGCCUAACACAUGCAAGUCGAACGGUAACAGGAAACAGCUUGCUGCUUUGCUGACGAGUGGCGGACGGGUGAGUAAUGUCUGGGAAACUGCCUGAUGGAGGGGGAUAACUACUGGAAACGGUAGCUAAUACCGCAUAACGUCGCAAGACCAAAGAGGGGGACCUUCGGGCCUCUUGCCAUCGGAUGUGCCCAGAUGGGAUUAGCUUGUUGGUGGGGUAACGGCUCACCAAGGCGACGAUCCCUAGCUGGUCUGAGAGGAUGACCAGCCACACUGGAACUGAGACACGGUCCAGACUCCUACGGGAGGCAGCAGUGGGGAAUAUUGCACAAUGGGCGCAAGCCUGAUGCAGCCAUGCCGCGUGUAUGAAGAAGGCCUUCGGGUUGUAAAGUACUUUCAGCGGGGAGGAAGGGAGUAAAGUUAAUACCUUUGCUCAUUGACGUUACCCGCAGAAGAAGCACCGGCUAACUCCGUGCCAGCAGCCGCGGUAAUACGGAGGGUGCAAGCGUUAAUCGGAAUUACUGGGCGUAAAGCGCACGCAGGCGGUUUGUUAAGUCAGAUGUGAAAUCCCCGGGCUCAACCUGGGAACUGCAUCUGAUACUGGCAAGCUUGAGUCUCGUAGAGGGGGGUAGAAUUCCAGGUGUAGCGGUGAAAUGCGUAGAGAUCUGGAGGAAUACCGGUGGCGAAGGCGGCCCCCUGGACGAAGACUGACGCUCAGGUGCGAAAGCGUGGGGAGCAAACAGGAUUAGAUACCCUGGUAGUCCACGCCGUAAACGAUGUCGACUUGGAGGUUGUGCCCUUGAGGCGUGGCUUCCGGAGCUAACGCGUUAAGUCGACCGCCUGGGGAGUACGGCCGCAAGGUUAAAACUCAAAUGAAUUGACGGGGGCCCGCACAAGCGGUGGAGCAUGUGGUUUAAUUCGAUGCAACGCGAAGAACCUUACCUGGUCUUGACAUCCACGGAAGUUUUCAGAGAUGAGAAUGUGCCUUCGGGAACCGUGAGACAGGUGCUGCAUGGCUGUCGUCAGCUCGUGUUGUGAAAUGUUGGGUUAAGUCCCGCAACGAGCGCAACCCUUAUCCUUUG
This 1117-nucleotide ribosomal RNA is filed under the name Escherichia coli P0299917.5. Its description in RNAcentral is "bacterial SSU rRNA". It matches the Rfam family "Bacterial small subunit ribosomal RNA", at positions 8 to 1114 of the family's 1533-position model. Lineage: Bacteria; Pseudomonadati; Pseudomonadota; Gammaproteobacteria; Enterobacterales; Enterobacteriaceae. The record is from RNAcentral.